This 500-nucleotide ribosomal RNA is filed under the name uncultured bacterium. Its description in RNAcentral is "partial 16S ribosomal RNA". It matches the Rfam family "Bacterial small subunit ribosomal RNA", at positions 30 to 523 of the family's 1533-position model. The record is from RNAcentral.
AUUGAACGCUGGCGGCAUGCCUUACACAUGCAAGUCGAACGGCAGCACGGGAGCAAUCCUGGUGGCGAGUGGCGAACGGGUGAGUAAAGUAUCGGAACGUGCCCAGUCGUGGGGGAUAACGUAGCGAAAGUUACGCUAAUACCGCAUACGAUCUAUGGAUGAAAGCGGGGGAUCGCAAGACCUCGCGCGAUUGGAGCGGCCGAUAGCAGAUUAGGUAGUUGGUGGGGUAAAGGCUCACCAAGCCGACGAUCUGUAGCUGGUUUGAGAGGACGACCAGCCACACUGGGACUGAGACACGGCCCAGACUCCUACGGGAGGCAGCAGUGGGGAAUUUUGGACAAUGGGCGAAAGCCUGAUCCAGCCAUGCCGCGUGCAGGAUGAAGGCCUUCGGGUUGUAAACUGCUUUUGUACGGAACGAAAAGGUUUGGCCUAAUAAGCUGAGCUCAUGACGGUACCGUAAGAAUAAGCACCGGCUAACUACGUGCCAGCCGCCGCAGUAA